GCAUGACUCUUGGCAAUGGAUAUCUAGGCUCUUGCGUCGAUGAAGAACGUAGCAAAAUGCGAUACUUGGUGUGAAUUGCAGAAUCCCGUGAACCAUCGAGUCUUUGAACGCAAGUUGCGCCCGAGACCAUCAGGUCAAGGGCACGUCUGCUUGGGCGUCACGCCU
RNAcentral lists this ribosomal RNA (165 nucleotides) under Allium ursinum (ramson). RNAcentral's name for it is "5.8S ribosomal RNA". It matches the Rfam family "5.8S ribosomal RNA". Rfam says of the family: 5.8S ribosomal RNA (5.8S rRNA) is a component of the large subunit of the eukaryotic ribosome. The record is from RNAcentral. Lineage: Eukaryota; Viridiplantae; Streptophyta; Magnoliopsida; Asparagales; Amaryllidaceae.